This 2487-nucleotide long non-coding RNA is filed under the name Oryza sativa Indica Group (long-grained rice). RNAcentral's name for it is "lncRNA OsLaMu_09g0015700". Lineage: Eukaryota; Viridiplantae; Streptophyta; Magnoliopsida; Poales; Poaceae. The record is from RNAcentral.
UGCCACCGACAUGGGCCUGGUUGUGAAGGCCGGACUCUAUCGUCCAAGCCCAUCACAGCCCAGAAAGCCCAUAUCAGCACAGGACCGGCCCAUGUCGGACUCCCUUUGCCCUUAGGUCUUCGGACUCCACCUCUGCUGCGGCGGUGGCAGCGAGGCGAAUCCGGCGACGGCGCGAAUUCCGGCGAGGUAUUCGCCGCGUUGCCAUGGGGAAGAUGCUGGAUCCGAAGCGUCUCAUGUCUGCGCGACAGGAGCGGCAUCGCCGUCGGCGGCGACGGCAACUCCGACCCCGCAGGCUCAUUCUGUCACCACGUUGCAGAUUCUGAAGGCGCCAAAAGAACAAGAUAUUCAGUGCCUAGCCUUCCAGAGGAAAUCUGGUGCCAUAUACACUCCCUAAUGUCAUUCAAAGAUGCUGCUCGUGCAGCAUGCGUGUCUCGUGCUUUUCGUCAUUCCUGGCGAUGCCAUCCCAAUCUUAUAUGUUGUAUUGGAAUACUGGGCUCGGAUUUCAUCAACAAAUUUGACCGCAUUAUGAAAAAUCACUCAGGAAUUGGCAUCAAGUCGGUAAAGUUUCAAUAUAAUAGUUUUUACAAUACUAGAAGGAGCACUAGCAUCAGCCAUCAUUUCGAUAGUUGGCAUCAGAUUGCUAUUACACCGUGGAUCGAAGAACUCACCAUUAGCCUAUCUCUAUCUUCAUUCAAUAUGGAGUACAGCUUCCCAUGCUCACUUCUAGCUGAUGGGAGAGCAAGCUCAAUGCGGCAUCUUUAUCUUGGCAAUUGUGGAUUCCAUCCCACAAUCAACCUUGACUUGAGAAACCUGACAAGGCUGCAUCUGAUUAAUGUACAUAUUACAGGAGAUGAGUUAGGGUGCCUUCUCUCAAAUUCUCAUUGUUUGGAGCAGUUAGAACUUAUGUAUUGCAAUGGAAUAAUUUGUCUGAAGAUACCUUCCCUGUUGCAGUGCCUCAGUCACCUAGAAGUGUUUGAUUGCAGAAUUCUUCAAGUACAACUCUUGCUUGGCGAAUCGUUGCGAAUGAAGAGACUAUCCUUGCACUACCCCGAUGCUAUGUAUUAUGCUCAUGCAAAGCUUCCAUCCAAUGCGCCAAAUCUUGAAACUCUCGCCCUCGAAUGCUCGACUGACAAGAUGGUUGAUACACCAAUAUUGCCUAGCAAAUUCUUCCAUCUCAAGUGCUUGACCAUUGAUCAUACCAUUAUCUCAUCUUCCCCAGCUUAUAAUUAUCUUUACCUGGUUUAUUUUCUCGACGCUUGCCCUUCCUUGGAGACUUUCCUUUUGGGUAUAUCGCAGAACCACAUGGAGCAUGACUCGAUUAUUGGAGAUUCCUCACAUAUGAGGCAAAUGCCAGGACACCGUCAUGACAACCUCCGGAGUGUGGAGAUCACCGGUUUCUACUCUGCAAAGAGCUUGAUCGAGCUAACAUGUUAUAUUCUUGACAAUACAGUUGCACUCAAGUACCUUACACUGGAUACAACUCGUGGUUUUUUCAGCUGUUCUACAGGUGAACACGACAGAUGCUUUCCUAUGGACAAAAUCAUGAUAACGGAAGCCAACAGGGCAGUCCUGGCUAUCCAAAACAUACAUCGAGCGAAAAGUUCCUUCCACGAGGCGGCGCUGGCGGUUGCGGACGGUGACGGCGCGGCCCUCGGCGAGGACGUGGGGGAGGUAGGCGUUCUCGACGAGGUGGUGGAAGACGGUUCGAUUGAUUCAGCGGCUAAAAGAAAGGGAUCACUCUGUCAACAAGUUGCAAAUUCUGAAGGCAACAAAAAAACAAGAUAUUCAGGGCUAGACCUUCCAGAGGAAAUCUGGUGCCAUAUACACUCCCUAAUGGCAUUCAAAGAUGCCGCCCGUGCUACAUGUGUGUCUCGUGCUUUUCAUCGUUCCUGGCAAUGCCAUCCCAAUCUUAUAUUUUGUAUUGGAAUACUGGGCUCGGAUUUCAUCAACAAAUUUGAUCGCAUUGUGAAAAACCACUCAGGCAUUGGCAUCAAGUCGAUGAAGACACUAUCUUUGCAAUACUAUUGCAACGCUGUCUAUUAUGCUCGUGUAGAGUCUAUACCCAAUGUGCCAAAUCUUGAAACUCUCACCAUUUGCUCGUAUCACGAGAUACCAAAGGACAGCAUGGAGGAUGACUCAAUUUUUGGAGAUUCCUCAAAUAUGAGGCAGAUGCAAGAAUAUCGUCAUGACAACCUCCAGAGUGUGGUGAUCACUUGUUUCUGCUCCGCGAAGAGCUUGAUCGAGCUAACAUGUUGUAUUCUUGACUGUACAACGUCACUUGAGUACCUUACACUGGAUACUACUCGUGGUGUUUAUAGCUGUUCUACAGGUAAACACAGCCAAUGCUUUCCUAUGGACAAGGCCAUGAUCCCUAAAGCUAACAGGGCUAUGUUGGCUAUCGAAACAUACAUUGAACGAAAAGUUCCUUCCACAGUUAAGUUAAAUGUUGUGAAACCUUGCCCCCGUUGCCAUAUAAUUGAAUCUUAG